CAGGAUUCCCCUAGUAACUGCGAGUGAAGCGGGAAAAGCUCAAAUUUAAAAUCUGGCGGUCUUUGGCUGUCCGAGUUGUAAUCUAGAGAAGUGUCAUCCGCGCUGGACCGUGUACAAGUCUCCUGGAAUGGAGCGUCAUAGAGGGUGAGAAUCCCGUCUUUGACACGGACUGCCAGGGCUUUUGUGAUGUGCUCUCAAAGAGUCGAGUUGUUUGGGAAUGCAGCUCAAAAUGGGUGGUAAAUUCCAUCUAAAGCUAAAUAUUGGCGAGAGACCGAUAGCGAACAAGUACCGUGAGGGAAAGAUGAAAAGAACUUUGGAAAGAGAGUUAAACAGUACGUGAAAUUGCUGAAAGGGAAACGCUUGAAGUCAGUCGCGUUGUCCAGGGAUCAACCUUGCUUUUGCUUGGUGUACUUUCUGGUUGACGGGUCAGCAUCAAUUUUGACUAUUGGAAAAAGGUCAGGGGAAUGUGGCAUCUUUAGAUGUGUUAUAGCCCUUGGUUGCAUACAAUGGUUGGGAUUGAGGAACUCAGCACGCCGCAAGGCCGGGUUUUUUUUUAACCACGUACGUGCUUAGGAUGCUGGCAUAAUGGCUUUAAUCGACCCGUCUUGAAACACGGACCAAGGAGUCUAACAUGCCUGCGAGUGUUUGGGUGGAAAACCCGAGCGCGCAAUGAAAGUGAAAGUUGAGAUCCUCGUCGUGGGGAGCAUCGACGCCCGGACCUGACCUUUUGUGACGGUUCCGCGGUAGAGCAUGUAUGUUGGGACCCGAAAGAUGGUGAACUAUGCCUGAAUAGGGUGAAGCCAGAGGAAACUCUGGUGGAGGCUCGUAGCGAUUCUGACGUGCAAAUCGAUCGUCAAAUUUGGGUAUAGGG
Molecule: ribosomal RNA, 871 nt
Filed under: Aureonarius viscilaetus
Lineage: Eukaryota; Fungi; Basidiomycota; Agaricomycetes; Agaricales; Cortinariaceae
Description: eukaryotic LSU rRNA
Rfam family: Eukaryotic large subunit ribosomal RNA
Source: RNAcentral